GGCUCGUUGGUCUAGGGGUAUGAUUCUCGCUUAGGGUACGAUAGUUCCCGGGUUCAAAUCCCAGACGAGCCC
RNAcentral lists this transfer RNA (72 nucleotides) under Pelobates cultripes (western spadefoot toad). Its description in RNAcentral is "tRNA.Pro". It matches the Rfam family "tRNA". From Rfam's summary of the family: Transfer RNA (tRNA) molecules are approximately 80 nucleotides in length. The record is from RNAcentral. Lineage: Eukaryota; Metazoa; Chordata; Amphibia; Anura; Pelobatidae.